RNAcentral lists this ribosomal RNA (675 nucleotides) under uncultured bacterium. RNAcentral's name for it is "bacterial SSU rRNA". It matches the Rfam family "Bacterial small subunit ribosomal RNA", at positions 43 to 706 of the family's 1533-position model. The record is from RNAcentral.
CAGGCUUAACACAUGCAAGUCGAGGGGCAGCAUUUUAGUUUGCUUGCAAACUAAAGAUGGCGACCGGCGCACGGGUGAGUAACACGUAUCCAACCUGCCGAUAACUCGGGGAUAGCCUUUCGAAAGAAAGAUUAAUAUCCGAUGGUAUAUUAAAACCGCAUGGUUUUACUAUUAAAGAAUUUCGGUUAUCGAUGGGGAUGCGUUCCAUUAGUUUGUUGGCGGGGUAACGGCCCACCAAGACUACGAUGGAUAGGGGUUCUGGGAGGAAGGUCCCCCACAUUGGAACUGAGACACGGUCCAAACUCCUACGGGAGGCAGCAGUGAGGAAUAUUGGUCAAUGGACGAGAGUCUGAACCAGCCAAGUAGCGUGAAGGAUGACUGCCCUAUGGGUUGUAAACUUCUUUUAUAUGGGAAUAAAGUAUUCCACGUGUGGGAUUUUGUAUGUACCAUAUGAAUAAGGAUCGGCUAACUCCGUGCCAGCAGCCGCGGUAAUACGGAGGAUCCGAGCGUUAUCCGGAUUUAUUGGGUUUAAAGGGAGCGUAGGUGGAUUGUUAAGUCAGUUGUGAAAGUUUGCGGCUCAACCGUAAAAUUGCAGUUGAAACUGGCAGUCCUGAGUACAGUAGAGGUGGGCGGAAUUCGUGGUGUAGCGGUGAAAUGCUUAGAUAUCACGAAGAA